This 256-nucleotide ribosomal RNA is filed under the name uncultured bacterium. RNAcentral's name for it is "partial 16S ribosomal RNA". It matches the Rfam family "Bacterial small subunit ribosomal RNA", at positions 526 to 779 of the family's 1533-position model. The record is from RNAcentral.
CGUAGGGGGCUAGCGUUGUCCGGAAUCACUGGGCGUAAAGGGUUCGCAGGCGGAAAUGCAAGUCAGGUGUAAAAGGCAGUAGCUUAACUACUGUAAGCAUUUGAAACUGCAUAUCUUGAGAAGAGUAGAGGUAAGUGGAAUUUUUAGUGUAGCGGUGAAAUGCGUAGAUAUUAAAAAGGAAUACCGGUGGCGAAAGGCGACUUACUGGGGCUCAUUCUGACGCUGAGGAACGAAAGCGUGGGUAGCAAACAGGAUU